GAGCUUGCUUCAUUGCCGGCGACCGGCGCACGGGUGAGUAACGCGUAUCCAACCUUCCGUACACUCAGGGAUAGCCUUUCGAAAGAAAGAUUACUUCCUGAUGGUAUGAUGAGAUUGCAUGAUAGCAUCAUUAAAGAUUCAUCGGUGUACGAUGGGGAUGCGUUCCAUUAGGUAGUAGGCGGGGUAACGGCCCACCUAGCCGACGAUGGAUAGGGGUUCUGAGAGGAAGGUCCCCCACAUUGGAACUGAGACACGGUCCAAACUCCUACGGGAGGCAGCAGUGAGGAAUAUUGGUCAAUGGGCGAGAGCCUGAACCAGCCAAGUAGCGUGAAGGAUGACGGCCCUACGGGUUGUAAACUUCUUUUGUGCGGGAAUAAAGGAGCCUACGUGUAGGCUUUUGCAUGUACCGUAACGAAUAAGCAUCGGCUAACUCCGUGCCAGCAGCCGCGGUAAUACGGAGGAUGCGAGCGUUAUCCGGAUUUAUUGGGUUUAAAGGGAGCGUAGACGGGUUUUUAAGUCAGCUGUGAAAGUUUGGGGCUCAACCUUAAAAUUGCAGUUGAAACUGGAGACCUUGAGUACGGUUGAGGCAGGCGGAAUUCGUGGUGUAGCGGUGAAAUGCUUAGAUAUCACGAAGAACUCCGAUUG
This 645-nucleotide ribosomal RNA is filed under the name uncultured Bacteroides sp. RNAcentral's name for it is "bacterial SSU rRNA". It matches the Rfam family "Bacterial small subunit ribosomal RNA", at positions 69 to 715 of the family's 1533-position model. Lineage: Bacteria; Pseudomonadati; Bacteroidota; Bacteroidia; Bacteroidales; Bacteroidaceae. The record is from RNAcentral.